UUUUAAAAAUAAAUUUAACUAAAAAUAUAAAUUAAUUAGGCUUCGAAUUUUGAAUCUCGAGUACUAAUCAUAAAGUUCUUUAUCAUCUGCAGCGUUACGUUGUGUAAACAUACCAUGUGAAACAACCGUUGUACUCUAAAAGCUAGAACGGUGUUUAAAUAUUUUUAUAUUUAACACUCCCCCUCACGUCUGGGCUCGAGACUUUUUAAUCGGCCCAUGACGUGGGCUUGAAUUAAAUGGGAGGAAAUUAAUAUGCUAGGAGCCUGGCGUGAUUCGAACUCAGGAUCUCCUACUCUGAUACCAUGUGAAACAACUGUUGUACCCAUGUGAAACCGUUGUACUCUAAAAGCUUAAGCUGUUAGAGAACGGUGUUUAAAUAUUUUUAUAUUUAACAUGUGAAAUAACCGUUGUACUCUAAAAGCUUAAGCUGUAGAGAACGGUGUUUUAAACAUUUUUUAUAUUUAACACUCCCCCUCACGUCUGGGCUCGAGACUUUUUUUAAUCGGCCCAUGACGUGGGCUUAAAUUAAAUAGGAGGAAAUUAAUAUGCUAGGAGCCUGACGUGACUCGAACUCAGGACUUCCUGCUCUGAUACCAUGUGAAGCAACCGUUGUACUCUAAAAACUUAAGCUGUUAGAGAACGAUGUUUAAACAUUUUUAUAUUUAACAUGUGAAACAACCGUUGUACUCUAAAAGCUUAAGCUGUUAGAGAACGGUGUUUUAAAUAUUUUUUAUAUUUAACACUCCCCCUCACGUCUGGACUCGAGACUUUUUUUAAUCGGUCCAUGACGUGGGCUUAAAUUAAAUGGGAGGAAAUUAAUAUGCUAGGAGCCUGACGUGACUCAAACUCAGG
This 852-nucleotide long non-coding RNA is filed under the name Ananas comosus (pineapple). RNAcentral's name for it is "long non-coding RNA (ACOM_LNC007883)". Lineage: Eukaryota; Viridiplantae; Streptophyta; Magnoliopsida; Poales; Bromeliaceae. The record is from RNAcentral.